Non-coding RNA from Podarcis lilfordi (Lilford's wall lizard), 75 nucleotides. The record is from the annotation of a GenBank genome assembly. NCBI's taxonomy places the organism in Eukaryota, Metazoa, Chordata, Lepidosauria, Squamata, Lacertidae.
GCUCCAUCUAAACUCAGUCAGCAGAGCAUGAGACUCCUAAUCUUAAGACUGUGGGUUCAAGUCCCACAUGGGGCA